GGGGCCGAUCUUGGAUUUGACAGCAAGAUGGUUAAUUGUGUAAGCAUGUCGAGCUCUUGGUAAUUCCGCUCGUAAAUCUAGAAUUAUUACAGUCAGAAAUGACAACACUUCCUACUCGCUCGCAGCGUAGUCAACUCAGUUGAAUACACCUAAUUCUAGCUAUUAGAUAGCAGAACGAGCUAUCCCGAUGCAACGUACGGACCCUUCCGCGGCAUCAAUGGGGUAUCAGGCAAAUGGGACUAGUUAAGGGAGCGUUCUUCUCCUGGCGCGAAACUCCAAUGAACUAAGCUUUAGGUGGGCUGUCCAUGGCCAUCCUCAAGUCGAAAAUCAAUCAUGGAAUAAACAUGUAGAAGUCCCAGUUCUCCCUUGUUUGGACGGGGGUUCGACUCCCCCCGGCUCCAC
This 402-nucleotide transfer-messenger RNA is filed under the name Flavobacteriales bacterium. It matches the Rfam family "transfer-messenger RNA". From Rfam's summary of the family: Bacterial tmRNA, also known as 10Sa RNA or SsrA, is named for its dual tRNA and mRNA-like properties. The record is from RNAcentral. Lineage: Bacteria; Pseudomonadati; Bacteroidota; Flavobacteriia; Flavobacteriales.